CACGUAGGGCGCAAGCGUUGUCCGGAAUUACUGGGCGUAAAGCGUGCGCAGGCGGUUUUGUAAGCCAGGUGUGAAAUCCCCGGGCUCAACCUGGGAAUGGCAUUUGGGACUGCAAGGCUGGAGUGCGGCAGAGGAGACUGGAAUUCCUGGUGUAGCAGUGAAAUGCGUAGAUAUCAGGAGGAAUACCGAUGGCGAAGGCAGGUCUCUGGGCUGACACUGACGCUCAUGCACGAAAGCGUGGGGAGCAAACAGG
This 253-nucleotide ribosomal RNA is filed under the name uncultured bacterium. Its description in RNAcentral is "partial 16S ribosomal RNA". It matches the Rfam family "Bacterial small subunit ribosomal RNA", at positions 524 to 776 of the family's 1533-position model. The record is from RNAcentral.